This 468-nucleotide ribosomal RNA is filed under the name Triticum aestivum (bread wheat). RNAcentral's name for it is "partial small subunit ribosomal RNA". The record is from RNAcentral. Lineage: Eukaryota; Viridiplantae; Streptophyta; Magnoliopsida; Poales; Poaceae.
AUGGCCAGAUCCGCCGAGCCAGUGGCUGGAUCUCGAUCUUCUAGUCCUUCCCGCCUUCUCCUUCGUCGACGGCAGGCAGCAGAAAUGUGCAAGGCGCGCGCGACUGCUCCGGCCAGAGGAAGGCGCGAGGUACGACGCGACAGCGCGUGGUCGAGCCAGGCACGACACGGGCGGGCACCACCACACCGGGGCGUGACUACGGCAGCCAACAUCGGCGCCCAAAUCGCAUCCACCGAACCCAGGCGCGGGAUUCGGUGGGCGUGCGGUUUUGUGUUCAACAGGAGAGCGCACGCGAGAAAGAGCGCUGCUCGGGACGACCUACUCCUUCGUUGGCGUUUGGCAGCAGGUCGACAUCAUGGGCAACUACCAGGCCACCAGGGCAACCGCACCACGCCCUCCUACGUCGCCUUCACCGACACCAAGCGCGUCACCAGCAACGCCGCCAAGAACCAGGUUCGCCGCGGUUGA